RNAcentral lists this ribosomal RNA (244 nucleotides) under uncultured bacterium. RNAcentral's name for it is "partial 16S ribosomal RNA". It matches the Rfam family "Bacterial small subunit ribosomal RNA", at positions 91 to 334 of the family's 1533-position model. The record is from RNAcentral.
CGGACCGGCGCACGGGUGAGUAACGCGUAUGCAACUUACCUAUCGGAGGGGGACAACCCGGCGAAAGUCGGACUAAUACCGCAUGAAGCAGGGGCCCCGCAUGGGGAUAUUUGCUAAAGAUUCAUCGCUGAUAGAUAGGCAUGCGUUCCAUUAGGCAGUUGGCGGGGUAACGGCCCACCAAACCGACGAUGGAUAGGGGUUCUGAGAGGAAGGUCCCCCACAUUGGUACUGAGACACGGACCAA